Molecule: long non-coding RNA, 635 nt
Filed under: Arachis ipaensis
Lineage: Eukaryota; Viridiplantae; Streptophyta; Magnoliopsida; Fabales; Fabaceae
Description: long non-coding RNA (AIPA_LNC002031)
Source: RNAcentral
AUGCUACUUUGAGUUGUGUACAAUUCUGUUUAUUUCAGGUAGUGUUAUGGACGAAUUUGACAGAGUUGGAGUCAAGGACGGGCAAAGGAAAACUUGCUGCCACCUCCACACAGAACUUGGGAAUUUCCAAGUUCAGCGUGGGCAUAAAAAGUUCCAAGAAUCAAUGUUGCCUCCUCCACGCCGAAUUUGAAGUUCUUCAAGUUCGGCGCCAGCUCAAGGCCUCCAAAGAAAAAUCGCACUGCCAUCUCCACGCCGAACUUGAGUUUUCUCAAGUUCGGCGUCAACUCAAGGAAAGCAAGGGGAGUGACGUGCAUCAAUCCACGCCGAACUUGGAUUUUUCCAAGUUCGGCGUCAACUCUUCUAACUCAAGUGGUCCCCAAUUCGUUCCAAAGGUUGCACUGAUUGAUUAAAUCAAUUUUGAUUUAAACUUUUAUUAGUUUUAGAAUUAGGAAAAGAUAUUAUUUUAGUUUUAAAAAAUAUAUUCUACAUUUAUUAGGAUUAGAUAUAAAAGAGAAAAGAAUCAGCCCUUCAGGCUAAUCUCUUCUCUUCUACCUCAUUCCGCAAUUUACAGUUUUCUGAAUCCUAGUUUUUCUCUCUGAACCAUGAGCAGCUAAACAUCCACUAUUAAGGUUAAG